GAUGAACGCUGGCGGCGUGCCUAAUACAUGCAAGUAGAACGCUGAAGGAAGGAGCUUGCUCUUUCCGGAUGAGUUGCGAACGGGUGAGUAACGCGUAGGUAACCUGCCUGGUAGCGGGGGAUAACUAUUGGAAACGAUAGCUAAUACCGCAUAACAGUAGAUGUUGCAUGAUAUCUACUUAAAAGGUGCAAUUGCACCACUACCAGAUGGACCUGCGUUGUAUUAGCUAGUUGGUGAGGUAACGGCUCACCAAGGCGACGAUACAUAGCCGACCUGAGAGGGUGAUCGGCCACACUGGGACUGAGACACGGCCCAGACUCCUACGGGAGGCAGCAGUAGGGAAUCUUCGGCAAUGGACGGAAGUCUGACCGAGCAACGCCGCGUGAGUGAAGAAGGUUUUCGGAUCGUAAAGCUCUGUUGUAAGAGAAGAACGAGUGUGAGAGUGGAAAGUUCACACUGUGGCGGUAUCUUACCAGAAAGGGACGGCUAACUACGUG
Molecule: ribosomal RNA, 497 nt
Filed under: uncultured bacterium
Lineage: Bacteria
Description: partial 16S ribosomal RNA
Rfam family: Bacterial small subunit ribosomal RNA
Source: RNAcentral